This 80-nucleotide ribosomal RNA is filed under the name Stenotrophomonas maltophilia. RNAcentral describes it as "partial 16S ribosomal RNA". It matches the Rfam family "Bacterial small subunit ribosomal RNA", at positions 1 to 80 of the family's 1533-position model. The record is from RNAcentral. Lineage: Bacteria; Pseudomonadati; Pseudomonadota; Gammaproteobacteria; Lysobacterales; Lysobacteraceae.
UAAGUGAAGAGUUUGAUCCUGGCUCAGAGUGAACGCUGGCGGUAGGCCUAACACAUGCAAGUCGAACGGCAGCACAGAGG